Molecule: ribosomal RNA, 245 nt
Filed under: uncultured bacterium
Lineage: Bacteria
Description: partial 16S ribosomal RNA
Rfam family: Bacterial small subunit ribosomal RNA
Source: RNAcentral
GAUCAUGGCUCAGGAUGAACGCUGGCGGCGUGCUUAACACAUGCAAGUCGAACGGGAAUUACUUUAUUGAAACUUCGGUCGAUUUAAUUUAAUUCUUAGUGGCGGACGGGUGAGUAACGCGUGGGGUAACCUGCCUUAUACAGGGGGAUAACAGUCAGAAAUGGCUGCUAAUACCGCAUAAGCGCACAGAGCUGCAUGGCUCAGUGUGAAAAAACUCCGGUGGUAUAAGAUGGACCCGCGUUGGA